Molecule: ribosomal RNA, 253 nt
Filed under: uncultured bacterium
Lineage: Bacteria
Description: partial 16S ribosomal RNA
Rfam family: Bacterial small subunit ribosomal RNA
Source: RNAcentral
UACGUAGGUGGCAAGCGUUGUCCGGAAUUAUUGGGCGUAAAGCGCUCGCAGGCGGUCUUUUAAGUCUGAUGUGAAAUCUUGCGGCUUAACCGUAAGCGGUCAUUGGAAACUGGAGGACUUGAGUACAGAAGAGGAGAGUGGAAUUCCACGUGUAGCGGUGAAAUGCGUAGAGAUGUGGAGGAACACCAGUGGCGAAGGCGACUCUCUGGUCUGUAACUGACGCUGAGGAGCGAAAGCGUGGGGAGCAAACAGG